CUUUAAACUACAUUCGUAGUAGUAUUUGAUAAACCAUAGUGAAAAAAAAUUGUAUAUGUUAAUUUCAUGAGCUAUUUGGUUGCAUGAAGUAUUACGGGAAGCUGUCCUGAUAUACUUACAAUAGAGAUAAUCAUCUGGCUGGCAAUAAGUCUAAUUCGACAGGAUGUUGCGGAGAUCAGCAAGAUACUGAACAUAAGUUUUUCAUAUCAAAUUUUGGGAUGGCAAGUGCUUUAACAAAAGCAGGAAUAAAAACUAGGUGUUUUAGGAUCUCACCGAAUUCUACUGUAGUUUUGUUGACAUUUUUUCAAGGUUCUGCUUGACAGAAGAAUCUUUAUUAAAAACUCUUCAGGCUCUUGAUUUCGUAUGGGUUGUUUUUAAAGAUGGUUUUGAAGACAUCUUGUACAAAAAAAGAGAAUGUCAAGGAGUCAAGUCUGUUUUGAGGUUCCUGUUUGUAGUUUUUUUUUAAUAUUUCAUUAUUUCCUGUGUCCUCGUGGUGGACAUUUUAUACAAAGCUGUUUUGAGGUUCCUGUUUGUAGAUUUUUUUAAUAUUUCAUUAUUUCCUGUGUCCUCGUGGUGGACAUUUUGUACAAAGCUUCUCGUGUAUGACUAAGUCAUGUUUUAUCAUCACAUGUCCUGUAUGUAAAUUUCUCCUCAUCUUUAUAUUGUUAGGCAAAUCUUUCAGUUUAAGGAAUAACAUUCACUGAAUAUUCAAACCAAUGUUCAAUAAGCUUAUUCUUUGUUAUAAUCAGCCCCACAUAUGGGUUCAAGGUUGUAUGCUUGGUAUAUUGCUUCCUUUGAAGAUAGGUCAGACAUAUGAAGCGUCUGUCUUAUGCCAAAAAUUGAUAAGUAUCCAAUGACGGAUGACAUCAAGAGCGUAAUAGGAUAUGGGUACCCCUGUCUAGGCACCUUAGUUUUUUGCUGUGACUAUGGACUAUUGAUUAGAUCUCGGAGAACAGCUUACGAUUGACUUCGGAUGUUCAUGUUGUUUGCCUUCUCUUUAGUUGGGUUAAGCUGAUAUGUGGUCAUGUGACAUCAGACUUGAAUUUGUCAAAUUUUUAAACACAGCAAAGUAAAGUGAAACUUAAUGAAACAAAGGGUUGAUAGAGUACCUGGGCAUUGGCUAUUGUUAUUUAUCAGCCAUCUAUAAAGAGACUGAUAAAUAAAAUGCUGACUUAGUCUUGACAAAUUCUUAGUUAGAUAUUUACUUGAUGUAUUUUUGUAAUUUGCCAAACCUAAAGUUACCUUUCAAACAUGGUGAAGAGAUAUCUAUUUUUCAUAGCCUCAAAGCCUAUAGUAAUAGAAACUGUGUGUGUGGGAGACAGGGGAGAUACAAACACACAUUAAAUAAUCAUGAUAAGUUUUGGUCAAACCAUUUUUCAUUCAGCUGAUAGUAAUUUUUACUUUAAUUUUUUAGCUGCAUUUUUUAUUUUCUCAAGCUUAAUGUUCAACAUUUGAAUUACAUCACCCUUCAUGUCGUGACUACGUCUCGGAUGUGCAAUGAUUCGGCAUCUGUUGACGAGUCCAAAUCCUUCAUGGUCUCCUGCGCUUUGGCCUUUGUAUUGGUUAAUCCAGAUCAGUCAUUACUUUGUCAUAUUGGUGUGUUGCUGUACCUACGAAGGAUCGACACCCUCCAUUGAGUGUCAAUACCUUUAUCCAAUGCAGAAGAGUCUAAUGACACGUCUUCCUCCGAGUCCAAGGAGAUCGUGAGAAACUUCUCUGCAGUUAGAUACGUCCACUGUUCGCUGACUCAGAGAGUGAGCAGUGCCAGUGGCUGGGUACUUUUCGUCACUCUGAAGAAUAUGUCGGACUGGAAGAUAAAUAGAUGCGGUCUCAUUACGACCACUAUAUCUUUCUUCCUUCUGGUCUGCCCACAGGUCCUUGUACUGGUGGUGGAUGCUUACAAGUUGUUUGCUUAUCCAGCUCCUUCAAGAGGACAAGUUGUAUCUCGCCUAUGGUGUGUGGUUCUAGAGGUAAGAAGGAUGCGAGAGUGACUGGCGUCUCCACUUUCCCCUCCUCUUUUCCUUCAGGUUGAGAAUAGGACUUGAACUUGCACUUGCUGGUCGGGGAUUUGAUGCGAUAAGCUUGCACAUCGUGUAUCCUUUCUAUUUUUCUUAACAGAAUCAUAGAAGCUAUCCCGCUUCUUUAUCUAGCAAGGGGAGGAAGGAGACUGGCCCAAUAGUCUGACUCUUGAUCAUGCAGCUCCUUUACUCCAAUCAAGUCAGAGGCAGGACACUCCUCGCUCUUACGACCAGGAGGGAUAGCCCAGCUGUGCUGAACACCAAUCAAUUGGUCAUGACAUUUGUUGAAAGCAGCUGGAGAGUUAUUCAAAUCUACCAGAAUAAAUGGCAAUGCAGGACAAGGAAGAGAUAGCCAGAAGUCGGGAGAUUGUAAAACUUCUAAGAUAAUUAAUUUACAACUGUAUUUAGUUAAAGAAUAAAGUAGUAAUACUCCUAGAACAGUUUAAAAAUAGAGAGAUGGUGAUUGAAGGAGGAGGAAUACAUUUGAAGUACUGCUGGCUGAUCUUUACACCAAAAAACAUCAGAAGCAACUGCAAGGUACGUAAAUGUCAACAAUAAGUUCAUCAGUGGAAUAUCUGUAAAUGAAUGUACUUGAUAUUCAAUGGUUUUAAAGUCUAUAUCUAUUGUAUUUAUUUCUGGUAAGAGGCAACAUCCAGAACAAGAGGAAGAACGAUUAAAUAUAAGGAGGUACAUGAAGACUUAGGCCAUGUGAUAAUAAUUACCAAAUAGAAUAUGCUAUUAACGAUUAGUACAGAAAUUAUGACCUAACAAGAUUCAUGAAUAUUUAAAUUAGAAGUGCUCAACAAAUCAUUUAAUUGAAUGAAAUACAAGAUUUAACAAUUAAUAAUGAUGCCCAAUCCAAAGUAGUCACUAGCAGCAAGACAGAGAAAAAGAUUAAAACUGUUGCCACAAUGAGACCUUGGACACCCCACUAUUCGUGAUUCACAAACCAGAGGUUGGUCAAAGAACUGCUUUUGGAGUGGUCAUGUAAAAAGGUUCCCUGCUUUUCAGUGGUCGAGUAAAAAGUUUCCAAAUAACAUCCUUCAUUCUUAAUAAUGGAACAAGCAAUGAUAACACCUGCCAGGUUGAUAUACAAAGGCUGUGGGAGCAAACCAGUGAGGAGUGUGAAUAAUGAAAGAAGCAAAUCCUUGAGGUAUACUAACAUCUGUGUGCAGUGAGUUUUAAUUCUACUGGCACACUUCAUCACAUUAUGCAACUGUGUCUUGCAAUAAAAGCUUGGAAGUCAUAACUGCAUCAAAGAUUUCAGGAGUUUGUUUCAAUAAACCAAGUUAGAUAUGAGCGACCUCCAUUAUGUUAAUAAUAGGUCACACUGGAUUCCUUCAUUCCAUACCAGCAAGUUCAGUUUUCGAUGAGGCCUCUCGCAUCCAAUUAGGUUUGUUUAACGUCUGAAAUCUUUGAUGCAGUGUGUGCCAGCAGAGUUACAACUCAUUGCACACAGAUGGGGGUCUAUCUCAAUCUUAAUCAUUGCUGGGCAUGUGUAGUUAACAUCCCAAUCAAGAGCUUCUCGGCAUUCACAAACUUAUCUCCCUUCAUAAGUCAGCUUCCAGAUUCAAUCCAUUUUGCUUUCACAAUAUAAGGAACACUUCUCAAACCCAUUCCAUCAACUGACUCAUAGUCUUCGAAUCCUUUGUGGUUGGAAUAUUUAGGUAUUCUAUAUAGCUUCUUGCAAUAUGUACCACAAGGCAGUCUGAUUCUGCCCAUUGUACAAGUUAAAUAAUGUAAUAGAUGCCAAGCAUCACAAAGUUCUCCGUCCUUUGACUGUCUUCAGAUGUCUUUGCAUUAUGAAAAUAUCCCUGGGAAGGUGUAAGGCUUUACUCAUGUGCUUCAUAAUAAUUAUAUCGCUAAAGAAUAUAUGAUGAAGGAAAUUGACUGUAAAGAAUAUACGAUGACAGCACUGUACACUAUUGGUAUUGUGUUUAAUGCCCAAUGUUUUUGUUGAGUCAACAUGGCUUUCUUUUGCACUUAUGUUCAAGUGAUAGAUGUCAAUGCAUACAAUUUACAUUUUAUAGUUAUUGCAAUAUAUGUACAAACUCGUAAUCUAUUUUUUUCAUGUAUUGGAAAAGUUUUAAUGUGUACAUAAAAUGUGUACGAAUUAAUCACCAAGACCCCCUCCAUUAAGGUAGCCACUGACUGGAGGGGUAUCUACUGAAGAUAUACUAGUGAAAACAUGCAGAAUGGAAACUCAGAUGGAGAUGCCAGCAGACUUAAAAGUUGCUGAGCAUCAAAUUAUCCAUGCCAACUACACAGGAAUGCCUGGCAGUGUCUUAUCACAAGAAUGACUGACUAGCACAACAUUCCCCUCCAGAUGCUAAUGAACCUUGUUCUUGUUUAUAGUGGAGUGUUCAUCAAUGAAACUCCAUUUUAAAAAUAGAAUUUUUACCCACAGAGUAUCUUUGCCAAGAUGUAGCCUUUUGAAAUCUGCCUUAAAAACCCUAAAUAAUUUCUAAAUUGACCUAGGGAGCAUUAUGGAUAUCACCAGAAAAAAGUUGAGGAGUCUGUGAAUGAUCUUUGGAACAUCUCAAACCAAGCCUCUAAAUAGGAAAUGUCUAAAACCAAGCCCCUAAAUAGGAAAUGUCUAAAUAAAUAAAUAUUCUCUCCAGCUUUAAAGAACUCUUGAAACUGAGAACUAUGCCAACUCCACCAGCUUUUAUUAGUAUGUACUGUAAUGUCCAAGUGUUUAAAUAACAUGGCACACAAGGAAUUUAAGUUAUUUCCUAAAGUUCCUUUCAAAUCUGACUAAAACCCUGACACCUCUGGCCCAAAAACCUCUUGCAAGACUUCAGUAUCCCUCUCGCUUACAUAAAAUAUAUCCCUCUCGCUUACAUAAAAUAUAUCAAUACGUAGUGAUGCAUUCAUACACCACCAAAAUGAAAAUUAUUAUUAUAUAAAGGAUUAGUUUAUCCAGACCUAUGAAUAGAUCAAUUUGUAGUAUUUUCAAAUCAUGUUAGCAUUAUACUAUGAAGACCUAUAGUAAAGAAAUUCUCACCAGGAAACUGGCUGAUUGGAUAUUGAAAUCUUUCAGGUCCUAUUCUGAAUCCAGCAUAGUUAACUCUCUAACAAUUAUAAUCAACAUCUAUAAAGUCUUUUACUUUGUCCAAUAUAGUUAACUCUUGAAAAUAGUAUUAUAUAUAGUACUGAGAAAAUUGUAAUACGUAUAUGUACUGGCCUCCACUAUGUUUAUUGACAAUCAUCUAUAUAUAUCUGAAUAAAAUUUCUAUAA
RNA transcript from Macrobrachium nipponense, 5259 nucleotides. It is a transcript of the gene named elastin-like, with no coding region annotated. The record is from RefSeq and is a predicted model, not a curated record. The transcript is spliced from 2 exons. Lineage: Eukaryota; Metazoa; Arthropoda; Malacostraca; Decapoda; Palaemonidae.